Molecule: ribosomal RNA, 472 nt
Filed under: uncultured bacterium
Lineage: Bacteria
Description: bacterial SSU rRNA
Rfam family: Bacterial small subunit ribosomal RNA
Source: RNAcentral
AGGGUUUGAUUAUGGCUCAGAACGUACGCUGGCGGCACGCCUAACACAUGCAAGUCGAACGAAGUAGCAAUACUUAGUGGCAGACGGGUGAGUAACAUGUAGGUAUCUGCCCUUUGGCCUGGAAUAACACGAGGAAACUUGUGCUAAUACCGGAUAAGUCUUUACGGAGAAAGCUUUAUGCACCAUUGGAUGAGCCUGCACUUGAUUAGUUUGUUGGUGGGGUAAUGGCCUACCAAGACUGUGAUCAAUAGCUGAUUUGAGAGGAUGAUCAGCCACAUUGGGACUGAGACACGGCCCAAACUCCUACGGGAGGCAGCAGUGGGGAAUCUUGCACAAUGGAGGAAACUCUGAUGCAGCGAUGCCGCGUGAGUGAAGAAGGCCCUUGGGUUGUAAAGCUCUUUCGUCGGGGAAGAAAAUGACUGUACCCGAAUAAGAAGGUCCGGCUAACUUCGUGCCAGCAGCCGCGGUAAUA